ACGGGAGGCAGCAGUGGGGAAUAUUGCACAAUGGGCGCAAGCCUGAUGCAGCGACGCCGCGUGAGCGAAGAAGUAUUUCGGUAUGUAAAGCUCUAUCAGCAGGGAAGAUAAUGACGGUACCUGACUAAGAAGCACCGGCUAAAUACGUGCCAGCAGCCGCGGUAAUACGUAUGGUGCAAGCGUUAUCCGGAUUUACUGGGUGUAAAGGGAGCGUAGGCGGUUUUACAAGUCUGAUGUGAAAGCCCGGGGCUCAACUCCGGUAUUGCAUUGGAAACUGUAGAACUAGAGUGUCGAAGGGGUAAGUGGAAUUCCUAGUGUAGCGGUGAAAUGCGUAGAUAUUAGGAGGAACACCAGUGGCGAAGGCGGCUUACUGGACGAUUACUGACGCUGAGGCUCGAAAGCGUGGGGAGCAAACAGGAUUAGAUACCCUGGUA
This 434-nucleotide ribosomal RNA is filed under the name uncultured Pseudobutyrivibrio sp. Its description in RNAcentral is "partial 16S ribosomal RNA". It matches the Rfam family "Bacterial small subunit ribosomal RNA", at positions 341 to 792 of the family's 1533-position model. The record is from RNAcentral. Lineage: Bacteria; Bacillati; Bacillota; Clostridia; Lachnospirales; Lachnospiraceae.